Molecule: long non-coding RNA, 1698 nt
Organism: Galleria mellonella (greater wax moth)
Lineage: Eukaryota; Metazoa; Arthropoda; Insecta; Lepidoptera; Pyralidae
Exons: 3
Source: RefSeq, a predicted model, not a curated record
UAUUAAAUCUUGACAUUGACAAAUAAAAAGUAACCGUUGAAGUGAGAAUUUAGGACAAACAAAAAAAAAUAUGAUCCAAAUUAGAAAAAAUGUUUUGGCAAUAUUUACAGAUAGAAUUAUCCAAUAAAUUAAUACGUUGCAAAUGUGCAGGAAAUUUACAAUGACCUAUCUGCAAUCUACUUAAUAUAGUAUAACCAAACAAUUUACAGAUUUUGUUCGAAUCAAGCCAAGUUUCAUUUAGUAAAAUGAUAUCAAAAUGUGAUGUAAAGUUGUAAAUAAAGUUUUUAAAUUGAAAUAUUUUAGACAGAAAGCGUCUUGAGUUUCAAUGAACAAUAUUAAUUUCAUUUAAAGAUGUAAUGGUCAUGUUGAAAAAUUAGAUAUGAGUAUUUCCUUAAUUAAUUUAGAUGAAAUUGUAUCAGAAUUAGUUUGAGCUUUCUUAACUAGCUCAAUAACAGUCUUAGUAAUUGUGUUGAGUACAAUGUCUGAGUUAAUGAUGUCAAUAACUAAUGCCCUUUUUUGAGGAGAUUUAUUUUGCGUUGGGCUGUUACUAGACACAGGGGUAUUUGAAUUAAUUACAGAGUUAACCGAUUUUGAAGUCACUGAUGCAUAAGAUGUUUUGCCUAGAAUUUUAUCUUUGAUUUGAGACAAUUUCAUCGAUUUAGUGGGACAGCUAUUAGAUACUGCUACAUGUUGUCCAUUACAAUUAACACAUUUAGGAUUGUCUUUGUUGAUACAGGAUCUAUAAUCAUGAGCACCGGCGCAUAUGGAACAAACUUGCUUACUUCUGCAGGAACUGCUUCCAUGACCAAAUUUGUAACAAGUGAAGCAUUGGAGUAGAGGUCUAAUGAAUUCACGCACAUCCAGCCAAAUAUGAUCAUACGUUACGUGAUCAGGUCGCUGCGUAGAGAGGAAAGUUACUAAAACUGUAGGAAGAGGAUGAAAACUUCCAUCUUCUUUCUUUUUUUGAAACGUUUAACACCGAUGAUAUCUACAGUAGAUUUUAAGUUAUUUAAGAGAUCUUCCUCAGAUAUUUCAGUAGGAGCUCUUAUAACUCCCUGAGAUUCCAGCUGAUUAUUGGGUAUCCUAGCCUGAAGUUUAUGUUUCUCUAAUAAAUCUUUAUUUAAUAAAAAUUCGUUAGCCUGUUUCAUUGAUCGAAAACAUAUUUUGAAUGCAGUAGAACCCAUAGUACGAAUAUAGAAUACACCAGAUACAUCUAUGUUUUGGCUGAAAGAGAACCUGUACAACGGUUUAUAAUUGAAGAAAAUUACAAGCCGUAUGUUAUUGUUAAAUAAAUAAUAUUGCUUUAUAAUGUUGCGCGUAAACAAAUACUAAUAGGUGCCAUUACAUCAACAUUAGAGGAGACUUACGGAUAUACACUUUUGUAUAUUCCACGGAGGCGCCAUAUUCGGCUCGCACCUUUACGAUCCAAUCAAACAAGUUUUUGAAUCAAUACCGAAAAUUGAAUCCCAUGACCAGAUUGUGAAUGAAACAUUAAUAAUGUCAACAGCUGUCGGCAAUGAUGUACAUCACAACAAUACAGGAAAUAACUUAAGGCGCCAUACAACCGCUCAUACAUCUAAGCAGACCACUUACAUACGUCUAUCUAAACCCUACAGAUGGCGAGGUCGAUCGAAUUCAACAAGUAAUAAUCUCAUCAAUGUAUAACGUAAUAUCGAAAUAUAAUAUUUAGAUAUAGAA